ACCACUUUGCGAUUCAUGACUGGGGUGAAGUCGUAACAAGGUAACCGUAGGGGAACCUGCGGUUGGAUCACCUCCUUACCUUAAAGAAGC
RNAcentral lists this ribosomal RNA (90 nucleotides) under Salmonella enterica subsp. enterica serovar Hadar. Its description in RNAcentral is "partial 16S ribosomal RNA". The stretch from base 1 to 78 matches the Rfam family "Bacterial small subunit ribosomal RNA", at positions 1456 to 1533 of the family's 1533-position model. Lineage: Bacteria; Pseudomonadati; Pseudomonadota; Gammaproteobacteria; Enterobacterales; Enterobacteriaceae. The record is from RNAcentral.